RNAcentral lists this ribosomal RNA (253 nucleotides) under uncultured bacterium. RNAcentral describes it as "partial 16S ribosomal RNA". It matches the Rfam family "Bacterial small subunit ribosomal RNA", at positions 524 to 776 of the family's 1533-position model. The record is from RNAcentral.
UACGGGGGGGGCAAGCGUUGUUCGGAAUUACUGGGCGUAAAGGGCUCGUAGGCGGCCAACUAAGUCAGACGUGAAAUCCCCAGGCUCAACCUGGGAACUGCGUCUGAUACUGGAUGGCUUGAAUUCGGGAGAGGGAUGUGGAAUUCCAGGUGUAGCGGUGAAAUGCGUAGAUAUCGUCAAGAACACCGAUAGCGAAGGCAGCUUACCAAGCUGUAACUGACACUGAGGCACGAAAGUGUGGGGAUCAAACAGG